CAAUAGCGUAUAUUAAAAUUGUUGCGGUUAAAACGCUCGUAGUUGGAUAUCUGCUAAGGGGUCCCGGUCCUUCCCAGUGAAGAAUACGCGGAACUCUUCUUGGCAUUUAUUCAGGGAAGGUGUUUGCACUUUGUUGUGUGUCACGUGAUCUGAAUUUUUACUUUGAGGAAAUGAGAGUGUUUCAAGCAGGCUUUCGCCGUGAAUAUGAUAGCAUGGAAUAAUAGCACAGGACCCCUUUCCAAAGCUGUUGGUUUUUGGAACGAGGUAAUCAGAAUAAGGAUAGUUGGGGGUAUUCGUAUUUAACUGUCAGAGGUGAAAUUCUUGGAUUUUUUAAAGACGAACUAUUGCGAAGGCAUCUGCCCAGGAUGUUUUUAUUGA
RNAcentral lists this ribosomal RNA (378 nucleotides) under uncultured eukaryote. Its description in RNAcentral is "partial 18S ribosomal RNA". It matches the Rfam family "Eukaryotic small subunit ribosomal RNA", at positions 592 to 976 of the family's 1831-position model. The record is from RNAcentral.